CACGUGGAUAAUCUACCCGACAGUCAGGGAUAACAUUUCGAAAGGAAUGCUAAUACCUGAUAAGCCUACGCCCUCUUCGGAGGAAGUAGGAAAAGGUGGGGACCUUCGGGCCUGCCGUUGUUGGAUGAGUCCGCGGCCCAUUAGCUAGUUGGCAGGGUAAUGGCCUACCAAGGCUACGAUGGGUAGCUGGUCUGAGAGGAUGAUCAGCCACACUGGAACUGAGACACGGUCCAG
RNAcentral lists this ribosomal RNA (234 nucleotides) under uncultured bacterium. RNAcentral's name for it is "partial 16S ribosomal RNA". It matches the Rfam family "Bacterial small subunit ribosomal RNA", at positions 114 to 334 of the family's 1533-position model. The record is from RNAcentral.